GUGGGGAAUAUUGGGCAAUGGGCGCAAGCCUGACCCAGCAACGCCGCGUGAAGGAAGAAGGCUUUCGGGUUGUAAACUUCUUUUACCAGGGACGAAACAAAUGACGGUACCUGGUGAAUAAGCCACGGCUAACUACGUGCCAGCAGCCGCGGUAAUACGUAGGUGGCGAGCGUUAUCCGGAUUUAUUGGGUGUAAAGGGCGUGUAGGUGGGACAGCAAGUCAGAUGUGAAAACCAGAGGCUCAACCUCUGGCCUGCAUUUGAAACUGUUGUUCUUGAGUGUCGGAGAGGUAAUCGGAAUUCCGUGUGUAGCGGUGAAAUGCGUAGAUAUACGGAGGAACACCAGUGGCGAAGGCGGAUUACUGGACGAUAACUGACGCUGAGGCGCGAAAGCCAGGGGAGCAAACGGGAUUAGAUACCCGGGUAGUCC
RNAcentral lists this ribosomal RNA (428 nucleotides) under uncultured bacterium. Its description in RNAcentral is "partial 16S ribosomal RNA". It matches the Rfam family "Bacterial small subunit ribosomal RNA", at positions 354 to 796 of the family's 1533-position model. The record is from RNAcentral.